UCCUCUCUCUUUCUCUUCUUUCUGCUUUCACUAGAGAACCAGAAUAGCCCAAAGUAGGAACUGAUGAAUAAUCCUUAAGAAAUAAAUAAAUUAAAGAAGAACUUGCUAGGUGUCACUCCAUCAAAAUCCCUCAAACUUUAAACAAGCUGAGGUGCUGCUACAAGAAAUUUUCAACUCUUUAUUUAUGUAAUCAAGCUACUCUGUCAUUUCCUUAAAAUACUUUUUAAUCCUAACUUAAAAUACCUUUGCUG
RNAcentral lists this long non-coding RNA (251 nucleotides) under Elaeis guineensis (African oil palm). RNAcentral's name for it is "long non-coding RNA (EGUI_LNC056393)". The record is from RNAcentral. Lineage: Eukaryota; Viridiplantae; Streptophyta; Magnoliopsida; Arecales; Arecaceae.